UUGAAUAACAUAUGUUUUGAGACCAGAUAUAUUUAUAUUGAAACAAUUUAAAAUGCCUAUAAAUGUGUAUUUGGCCUUUCACUAAUCAAGAGAAUGAACUUACACAUGGCUACCAAGAUAUUCCUAUCUCACAAGCUUUCCCUUUUUGGUUUUGUUGUGACACUCGCUGUUAUGUCCUCGAACAAUAAAGUGGUGGCUUUUCGAGAGCUACCUUUAGAAGUACAAGUGAUUAAGCAGAUUGUACUAUCAGAAUUAAGCUAAACUCAUCGUUGUUUUGAACACUGUGAAAUUCAUUUUGACUGUAAAAAAUUGCUAGAUUGUGGAUAUUGUCGAUGACAAAUUUUUAAAGUGCCAUUUAAGAGAUUUUUGACUCCA
Capsicum annuum is the source of this 375-nucleotide long non-coding RNA. RefSeq lists it as uncharacterized. The record is from RefSeq and is a predicted model, not a curated record. NCBI's taxonomy places the organism in Eukaryota, Viridiplantae, Streptophyta, Magnoliopsida, Solanales, Solanaceae. The transcript is spliced from 2 exons.